CCAACCCCAGGAAAAGGGACACUACCUUUCUAUCUCAGUUGAAGAAAGGAUGAUGAAGCGUUAACAACGACAAUAACGGCAUUUUCUAACGAGUUGUCUUAUGGCCUCUGAGAUUUGCGCGCGAAGCUGGCGCGCGCGAACCUGAGAGGCCAUAAUUGGCCGCUUAAUAGCAUAAAAAGACAAAGAUAAUGCCAAACGACACAACUAAAAAUUCAAACAAAGAACUGAUCUUAGCUAUACUGUUUGGGGAAAAGAAAUAAAAAAUUAGACAGCCGCAACACACGCCACUAAAGCCACCACCGCCGGCAUAACGCGGAACCAACUGUUGGCAACAUUCAUUCGCGCGUCAUUGCUUCGUCCGCGUCGUCUCCGCAACGAGAGCCGCCAUCUUCUCGCGCCUAACGUUUUGUAUGGUUUUGUUCUCUGCAAUCCGCGCACACAGCUCAUCGGUGGCUGCGCGUCUGCUCGGCGUCGCAAUGCGGCCUGCGUCAUUUUCUGGUGCUCGCGCAAUCGGUGUGAAACAUGUCGCAUGUGAAAUGUUUGUAGAAGUGCCUCACGUCCAAGUCAAGCCGCCGUACGGGUGUAUGGCUGUGCGCCCCGUUCUCGGAAGCGUCGACGGGUUUCCGGCAUGCGGAUUUCAGCGUUUGGACUCUACUUUUGGUGAGGAUGUCGAUCGACCUUGGGCCUGGCGACAGCACACCCGACAUCGCCAAAGUGCAGCCUAUCAGUUGAGUGCCCCCGAAUGGACCAUCAACAUUGGAAAAUGAAGCAGAGCCAGGCGGAAAAGGUUCCGGUAACACUGCAUUCAGUAUGGUGGCCCAGACGUGUAUGCAAGCAACCUCCUUCAUGUGGACCAAGAACUACUCUGCAGUGUCUCACAGUCUUCCAUGCGAAGCCCUCAACAUUCUCGUCUCAGUGGAAUGGCUGCUCAUCUAUCUGCGUGUCCAUCACCAAGAUGGCCAGUUGUAAAGCUCCUUUACCCGUUUAAGACAGCUUAAUGAUUUUUUUAUUUAGUUUUCAUGGUUGGCCGUAGAAUCUUAACAUUUUUGAUGUUUCUAACGUUUUUACCUGGCCCAAAGUGGUGCAAUAACUUUAAACCAGUGUAAUGUAUUUAAGUUAUGCUCACUCUAAUGCCUAUCUGGUUUUGUUUGUGUUUAAGAAAUUUGAAUGUCUGAUGAGGUAACAGCAUUUAAACUUAUCAUCGUGGCUCUUUUCAGUGAGCUGCUAGGAAAUAAGAUGCAA
Long non-coding RNA from Dermacentor albipictus, 1242 nucleotides. RefSeq lists it as uncharacterized. The record is from RefSeq and is a predicted model, not a curated record. Lineage: Eukaryota; Metazoa; Arthropoda; Arachnida; Ixodida; Ixodidae.